Molecule: ribosomal RNA, 373 nt
Filed under: uncultured bacterium
Lineage: Bacteria
Description: bacterial SSU rRNA
Rfam family: Bacterial small subunit ribosomal RNA
Source: RNAcentral
GUAGGGUGCAAGCGUUGCCCGGAUUUAUUGGGCGUAAAGGGCGCGCAGGCGGCUACGCACGUUCGUUGUGAAAUCGCCCGGCUCAACUGGGCGGGGUCAGCGAAUACGGCGUGGCUGGAGCAAGCUAGGGGGCAAUGGAAUUCCCGGUGUAGUGGUGGAAUGCGUAGAUAUCGGGAGGAACACCAGUGGCGAAGGCGGUUGCCUGGAGCUUUGCUGACGCUGAGGCGCGAAAGCGUGGGGAGCGAUCCGGAUUAGAUACCCGGGUAGUCCACGCCGUAAACGAUGCGGACUAGGUGUCGGGGGUAUCGACCCCCUCGGCGCCGCAGCUAACGCAUUAAGUCCGCCGCCUGGGGACUACGGCCGCAAGGCUAAA